GCGUGCUAGUAAUGAGAAAGGUAUUGCUAUGCAUAGCUUGUCAACUAUGAAGGUAAAUUAGGAAUGGUUGAAUCCAUAUAGAAGUUUCACCCUGCUCCAUCCUGCUAAAGCGCAUGGUUCUUGGCUUCUCUGUUUUGUGAAGAUUUUAGUUUUCUAGUGAUUUACAUGUGUAAAGGAGAUGUUUGUUGUGAUAACGUGUAUUGGGGAUGGUUACUUGGCUCAUUCAUA
RNAcentral lists this unclassified non-coding RNA (228 nucleotides) under Hevea brasiliensis (rubber tree). The record is from RNAcentral. Lineage: Eukaryota; Viridiplantae; Streptophyta; Magnoliopsida; Malpighiales; Euphorbiaceae.